Molecule: ribosomal RNA, 333 nt
Filed under: uncultured eukaryote
Lineage: Eukaryota
Description: partial 18S ribosomal RNA
Rfam family: Eukaryotic small subunit ribosomal RNA
Source: RNAcentral
CCCUUAGAUGUCCUGGGCCGCACGCGCGUUACACUGAUGCAUUCAACGAGCUUAUAACCUUGGCCGAGAGGCCUGGGCAAUCUUGUUAACGUGCAUCGUGAUAGGGAUAGAUUAUUGAAAUUAUUAAUCUUGAACGAGGAAUUCCUAGUAAACGCAGAUCAUCAAUCUGCAUUGAUUACGUCCCUGCCCUUUGUACACACCGCCCGUCGCACCUACCGAUUGAAUGGUUUAGUGAGAUCUUCGGAUUGGCGCCACUGCGGCUCAGCAAUGGGCUCGGUGGAUGCCGAAAAGUUGAUCAAACUUGAUCAUUUAGAGGAAGUAAAAGUCGUAACA